ACACAUGCAAGUCGAACGGGAUCCAUCGGGCUUUGCCUGGUGGUGAGAGUGGCGAACGGGUGAGUAAUGCGUGACCGACCUGCCCCAUGCACCGGAAUAGCUCCUGGAAACGGGUGGUAAUGCCGGAUGCUCCAUCACACCGCAUGGUGUGUUGGGAAAGCCUUUGCGGCAUGGGAUGGGGUCGCGUCCUAUCAGCUUGAUGGCGGGGUAACGGCCCACCAUGGCUUCGACGGGUAGCCGGCCUGAGAGGGCGACCGGCCACAUUGGGACUGAGAUACGGCCCAGACUCCUACGGGAGGCAGCAGUGGGGAAUAUUGCACAAUGGGCGCAAGCCUGAUGCAGCGACGCCGCGUGAGGGAUGGAGGCCUUCGGGUUGUAAACCUCUUUUGUUAGGGAGCAAGGCACUUUGUGUUGAGUGUACCUUUCGAAUAAGCACCGGCUAACUACGUGCCAGCAGCCGCGGUAAUACGUAGGGUGCAAGCGUUAUCCGGAAUUAUUGGGCGUAAAGGGCUCGUAGGCGGUUCGUCGCGUCCGGUGUGAAAGUCCAUCGCUUAACGGUGGAUCCGCGCCGGGUACGGGCGGGCUUGAGUGCGGUAGGGGAGACUGGAAUUCCCGGUGUAACGGUGGAAUGUGUAGAUAUCGGGAAGAACACCAAUGGCGAAGGCAGGUCUCUGGGCCGUUACUGACGCUGAGGAGCGAAAGCGUGGGGAGCGAACAGGAUUAGAUACCCU
This 731-nucleotide ribosomal RNA is filed under the name Bifidobacterium breve. RNAcentral describes it as "bacterial SSU rRNA". It matches the Rfam family "Bacterial small subunit ribosomal RNA", at positions 51 to 788 of the family's 1533-position model. The record is from RNAcentral. Lineage: Bacteria; Bacillati; Actinomycetota; Actinomycetes; Bifidobacteriales; Bifidobacteriaceae.